UACUGGAGGCUUGUAAAGUUGGACCAAUGCAGUGGAGAUUAGCAUGGCCACUACAAAAGGAUGUCAGGUCUCAUUGAGAAAAGGUCCAUUUUCUG
Molecule: small nuclear RNA, 95 nt
Filed under: Triticum aestivum (bread wheat)
Lineage: Eukaryota; Viridiplantae; Streptophyta; Magnoliopsida; Poales; Poaceae
Also listed under: 1 other name
Source: RNAcentral